GUAGUCUCGCACAGAUGCAUAUCAAUAAGCGGAGGAAAAGAAACUAACAAGGAUUCCCUCAGUAACGGCGAGUGAAGCGGGAAGAGCUCAAAUUUGAAAUCUUGAAAGGUCACCUUUCACGAAUUGUAGUUUAAAGAAGUGUUUUCUGUUACGAUCGUAAUAUAAGUUCUUUGGAAUAGGACAUCACAGAGGGUGAGAAUCCCGUCUAUGAUUGCGAUUUGUAGCUUUGUGUUACACUUUCAAAGAGUCGGGUUGUUUGGGAAUGCAGCCCAAAACGGGAGGUAAAUUUCUUCUAAGGCUAAAUAUUGGCGAGAGACCGAUAGCGAACAAGUACCGUGAGGGAAAGAUGAAAAGAACUUUGAAAAGAGAGUUAAAUAGUACGUGAAAUUGUCAAAAGGGAAGCGUUUAACACCAGUGUUGUUUUCUGAAAAUCAACCUCUGUUAGCUUUAUGCAUGCUUGUUUAGACCUAAUCAGCUAUCUUGUAUGUUCUAUUGUUUGCAGUGGUGCACUUUUCAGUUUACAGGUCAACAUCAGUUUUUUUUACCGUAAAAAAGUUAAAGAAAGGUAGCUCAUGGCUCCGGUCGUGAGUGUUAUAGUCUUUUUCCUAUGCGGUAGGAGAGACUGAGGUCUGCAGUGUAGGCUAUUUGGCUAGAUACUCAGGUGCUAUGUGAUACCAUUUCAUAAACAACUUGUUGAUUAUGUUUUGUCUAUUGCAUACUCGCUUGUACUAUCAUACCUACGCUUAGGAUGUUGAGUCGUAGAGCACGCAG
RNAcentral lists this ribosomal RNA (771 nucleotides) under uncultured Neocallimastigales. RNAcentral describes it as "partial large subunit ribosomal RNA". The stretch from base 6 to 661 matches the Rfam family "Eukaryotic large subunit ribosomal RNA", at positions 24 to 664 of the family's 3401-position model. Lineage: Eukaryota; Fungi; Neocallimastigomycota; Neocallimastigomycetes; Neocallimastigales. The record is from RNAcentral.